UCUACGGAGAGUUUGAUUCUGGCUCAGGACGAACGCUGGCGGCGUGCUUAACACAUGCAAGUCGAACGGUGAAGCCCAGCUUGCUGGGUGGAUCAGUGGCGAACGGGUGAGUAAC
This 115-nucleotide ribosomal RNA is filed under the name Cellulomonas triticagri. RNAcentral's name for it is "Bacterial small subunit ribosomal RNA". It matches the Rfam family "Bacterial small subunit ribosomal RNA", at positions 1 to 114 of the family's 1533-position model. The record is from Rfam by way of RNAcentral. Lineage: Bacteria; Bacillati; Actinomycetota; Actinomycetes; Micrococcales; Cellulomonadaceae.